Long non-coding RNA from Tachysurus fulvidraco (yellow catfish), 1099 nucleotides. RefSeq lists it as uncharacterized. The transcript is spliced from 2 exons. Lineage: Eukaryota; Metazoa; Chordata; Actinopteri; Siluriformes; Bagridae. The record is from RefSeq and is a predicted model, not a curated record.
AAAUUGAUUGGACAUGAUUUGUAAAUGCAAACACCUCUCAAUAGAAGGCCUCACAGCUGAUGAUGCAUAUCAGAGCAAAAACCAAGCCAUGAGGUCAAAGGAGCUGCCUGCAGAGAUCUGAGACAGGAUUGUUGCAAGACAAAGAUCUGGAAAAGAUUUUUUUUUUAAAGCAUAGUGGCCUCUAUAAUUUUUAAAUGGAAGAUGUUUGGCAAAACCAGGACUUUUGUAAGAGCUGGUCAUCUGGCCAAACUAAGAAACUGUGGAAGAAGGGCUAUAGUAAGAGAGGUGACCAUGAACCUGAUGGUUCCAGAUGGACAACCAUAACUGUAGCCUUCCACAGAUCUGGGCUUUGACAGAGUAGCUAAACCGAAGCCUCUCCUCAAUGCAAAAGACAUGAAAGCCUGCUUAGAGUUUGCAAAAAAGUAUCUAAAGAACUCCCAGACUGGGAGGAACAAGAUUCUCUGAUCAUAUGAAACUGAGAUCAAACUGUUUGUUCUCAGCUCUAAACUUUAUAUCAGAAUAAAACCAGGCACCACUCUUCACCUGCUGAAUACCAUGUCAACAGUGAAGCAUGGUGGUGGUAGCAUUAUGAUGACCUGUUUUUUUAGCAGCAGGUACUGGGAGAAUGAUCAGGGUUGAGUGAAAGCUGAAUAGAGCAAAGUACAGAUAAGCUCAGGUCCACAGACUGGCCAAAGGUUCACCUACCAACAUGACGAUGACCCUAAGCACACAGCCAAGACAACACAGGAGUGUCUUAGGCACAACUCUGUGAAUGUUCAAGAGUGGCUGGCCAGAGCCCUUACUUGAACCCUGUUGAACAUCUCCCUGGUAAUUAUGGCCGUCCACCAACGGUCCUCAUCCAACCUGAACAACCUUCAGAGGAUUUGCAAAGAAGAAUGACAGAAAAUCUCCUGAUCCAGUGAGGACCAGUCUGGGAUCUGAGCCAUCCGAUUGUCAAGACAACCCUGUAAUCUGGAGUGGAAUUUAUUAACAAGAAUGAACUCGGGUUGUGUGUACUAGGAAUGCACACAUAUUUGGACCAAGUUCAAAAAGAUAUUACUUCCUAUUUCAUUCAUGACCAAUAAACAGCUCAGUCUUC